Molecule: long non-coding RNA, 302 nt
Filed under: Brassica napus (rape)
Lineage: Eukaryota; Viridiplantae; Streptophyta; Magnoliopsida; Brassicales; Brassicaceae
Description: long non-coding RNA (BNAP_LNC003977)
Source: RNAcentral
UGUGUUAUUGUUUGGUGUCGAAGGACAUUCUAAAGCAUUGUCUGAUGAAAUCCGAUGUGGACUUAGUUUGGUGGCGUUGGAGUUGGCGCUUUGUGUGGUGGAGUUAGCCAUCGUGUAUAGCUCGUGUGAGCUUUGUAUGUGCUUGGAAAAUCAAGUGUUCUGUGUCUGGUGUGCGUUAGGUGCUGACGUACUUGGUGAAGUAUUUCCGAGAAGUGGAAGAUUGAAGCUUAGAAUCGGGGGUGGGGGUGGGGUUAGCACAGACGGUUUCAUUGAAGUGGUCUCUGAAAAUUGCAGCUGUAGAA